Molecule: ribosomal RNA, 397 nt
Filed under: uncultured bacterium
Lineage: Bacteria
Description: partial 16S ribosomal RNA
Rfam family: Bacterial small subunit ribosomal RNA
Source: RNAcentral
AUACGUAGGGGGCGAGCGUUGUCCGGAAUGAUUGGGCGUAAAGGGCGCGUAGGCGGCCCGGUAAGUCUGGAGUGAAAGUCCUGUUUUUAAGAUGGGAAUUGCUUUGGAUACUGUCGGGCUUGAGUGCAGGAGAGGUAAGUGGAAUUCCCAGUGUAGCGGUGAAAUGCGUAGAGAUUGGGAGGAACACCAGUGGAGAAGGCGACUUCCUGGAUUGUAACGUACGCUGAGGCGCGAAAGCGUGGGGGGCAAACAGGAUUAGAUCCCCUGGUAGUCCAAACUGUGAACGAUGAAUGCUAGGUGUAGGGGGUAUCGGCGCCUUCUGUGCCGCAGACAACACAAUAAGCAUUCCGCCUGGGGCGUACGGCCGCAAGGUUGAAACUCAAAGUAAUUGACGGGG